AGUGAACGCUGGCGGUAGGCCUAACACAUGCAAGUCGAACGGCAGCACAGUAAGAGCUUGCUCUUACGGGUGGCGAGUGGCGGACGGGUGAGGAAUACAUCGGAAUCUACUUUUUCGUGGGGGAUAACGUAGGGAAACUUACGCUAAUACCGCAUACGACAUACGGGUGAAAGCAGGGGAUCUUCGGACCUUGCGCGAUUGAAUGAGCCGAUGUCGGAUUAGCUAGUUGGCGGGGUAACGGCCCACCAAGGCGACGAUCCGUAGCUGGUCUGAGAGGAUGAUCAGCCACACUGGAACUGAGACACGGUCCAGACUCCUACGGGAGGCAGCAGUGGGGAAUAUUGGACAAAGGGCGCAAGCCUGAUCCAGCCAUACCGCGUGGGUGAAGAAGGCCUUCGGGUUGUAAAGCCCUUUUGUUGGGAAAGAAAAGCAGCAGGUUAAUACCCCGCUGUUCUGACGGUACCCAAAGAAUAAGCACCGGCUAACUUCGUG
Molecule: ribosomal RNA, 492 nt
Filed under: uncultured bacterium
Lineage: Bacteria
Description: partial 16S ribosomal RNA
Rfam family: Bacterial small subunit ribosomal RNA
Source: RNAcentral